Molecule: ribosomal RNA, 465 nt
Filed under: uncultured bacterium
Lineage: Bacteria
Description: partial 16S ribosomal RNA
Rfam family: Bacterial small subunit ribosomal RNA
Source: RNAcentral
CCUACGGGAGGCUGCAGUAGGGAAUCUUCCACAAUGGGCGAAAGCCUGAUGGAGCAACGCCGCGUGGGUGAAGAAGGUCUUCGGAUCGUAAAACCCUGUUGUUAGAGAAGAAAGUGCGUGAGAGUAACUGUUCACGUUUCGACGGUAUCUAACCAGAAAGCCACGGCUAACUACGUGCCAGCAGCCGCGGUAAUACGUAGGUGGCAAGCGUUAUCCGGAUUUAUUGGGCGUAAAGGGAACGCAGGCGGUCUUUUAAGUCUGAUGUGAAAGCCUUCGGCUUAACCGGAGUAGUGCAUUGGAAACUGGGAGACUGGAGUGCAGAAGAGGAGAGUGGAACUCCAUGUGUAGCGGUGAAAUGCGUAGAUAUAUGGAAGAACACCAGUGGCGAAAGCGGCUCUCUGGUCUGUAACUGACGCUGAGGCUCGAAAGCGUGGGUAGCAAACAGGAUUAGAUACCCUAGUAGUC